Oncorhynchus keta (chum salmon) is the source of this 660-nucleotide long non-coding RNA. RefSeq lists it as uncharacterized. The record is from RefSeq and is a predicted model, not a curated record. The transcript is spliced from 3 exons. Lineage: Eukaryota; Metazoa; Chordata; Actinopteri; Salmoniformes; Salmonidae.
AACUAGGGGGGGCAACUUAAGUCUCUAUGGGUCAACUAAUAUGGUGGGUGGAUGGGCACCUGGCUGGCACAGUACCCUGGGCUGUAUAGUAUAGGUAGGCAUCUGACAGUGUUCAGGUGGAGUAAUGAGAGAAGGCAGACAUCCAUGGCAUGUUAUGUCAAUACAAACAGCCUGCUGUCAGUCAUUGAGUAGUGGGAAGAUUGACUUCUGCGUCAUAUGUUGAUUCAAAUGCUCUGAAAUGGGUUUAGUAAUGUCUUUGUUACUAUUGUUGUUGGCGCUAUCUUAACUUAUGGCCUGGUGCCGACUCUGAGAGAGAUUGUUUUGAGUGUCUUUUCUUUGGGCGAGGGGAUAGUGUUUUCACACAGCCUAUUUUCAGUGUAAUUAUUUGCAACAGUCUGUGGACAAAGGGAGCACGCUGAGAUCCUGUGUCCUCAUAAUGAAAUAAUGGGAUUCAUUUUCCUCUCAGUGGGCUAGAAGGAGGCCACUCCACCCCUACAGCUUUCCAAAAACAGGGAAAAAGAGGGAGGGAACAAGAGACACACGGGGAGAGAGAGAAAGACAGAGGUGGGAAAAGAGAGACACAGGGGGAGAGAGAGAAAGACAGAGGUGGGAAAAGAGAGACACAGGGGGAGAGAGAGAAAGACAGAGGUGGGAAAAGAG